This 406-nucleotide ribosomal RNA is filed under the name uncultured bacterium. Its description in RNAcentral is "partial 16S ribosomal RNA". It matches the Rfam family "Bacterial small subunit ribosomal RNA", at positions 30 to 526 of the family's 1533-position model. The record is from RNAcentral.
AUUGAACGCUGGCGGCAGGCCUAACACAUGCAAGUCGAACGAGUGGCGGACGGGAGAGUCACGUCUGGGAAACUGCCUGAUGGAGGGGGAUAACUACUGGAAACGGAAGCUAAUCCCGCAUAGCAUCAGAUCUGCCCAGAUGGCAUUCGCUAGUUGGUGGGGUAAAGGCUCACCAAGGCCAAGAUCCCUAGCUGGUCUGAGAGGAUGACCGGCCACACUGGAACUGAGACACGGUCCAGACUCCUACGGUAGGCAGCAGGGGGGAAUAUUGCACAAUGGGCGAAAGCCUGAUGCAGCCAUGCCGGGUGUAUGAAGAAGGCCUUCGGGUUGUAAAGUACUUUCAGCAGGGAGGCGGUACCCGCAGAAGAAGCACCGGCUAACUCCGUGCCAGCAGCCGCGGUAAUAC